This 374-nucleotide ribosomal RNA is filed under the name uncultured bacterium. RNAcentral describes it as "bacterial SSU rRNA". It matches the Rfam family "Bacterial small subunit ribosomal RNA", at positions 524 to 898 of the family's 1533-position model. The record is from RNAcentral.
UACAGAGGGUGCGAGCGUUAAUCGGAGUUACUGGGCGUAAAGGGCGCGUAGGCGGUAAGACGUGUGUGAUGUGAAAGCCCCGGGCUUAACCUGGGAAGUGCAUCGCAAACUGUCUAACUAGAGUCGAUGAGAGGGUGGUGGAAUUUCCGGUGUAGCGGUGAAAUGCGUAGAGAUCGGAAGGAACGUCAAUGGCGAAGGCAGCCACCUGGCAUCAGACUGACGCUGAGGCGCGAAAGCGUGGGGAGCGAACAGGAUUAGAUACCCUGGUAGUCCACGCUGUAAACGAUGAGAACUAAAUGUUGGUUGGGGAACCAAUCGGUAUUGAAGCUAACGCGAUAAGUUCUCCGCCUGGGAAGUACGGCCGCAAGGUUGAA